GACGAACGCUGGCGGCGUGCUUAACACAUGCAAGUCGAACGGAAAGGCCCUGCUUUUGUGGGGUGCUCGAGUGGCGAACGGGUGAGUAACAAGUGAGUAACCUGCCCUUGACUUUGGGAUAACUUCAGGAAACUGGGGCUAAUACCGGAUAGGAGCUCCUGCUGCAUGGUGGGGGUUGGAAAGUUUCGGCGGUUGGGGAUGGACUCGCGGCUUAUCAGCUUGUUGGUGGGGUAGUGGCUUACCAAGGCUUUGACGGGUAGCCGGCCUGAGAGGGUGACCGGCCACAUUGGGACUGAGAUACGGCCCAGACUCCUACGGGAGGCAGCAGUGGGGAAUAUUGCACAAUGGGCGGAAGCCUGAUGCAGCAACGCCGCGUGCGGGAUGACGGCCUUCGGGUUGUAACCCGCUUUCGCCUGUGACGAAGCGUGAGUGACGGUAAUGGGUAAAGAAGCACCGGCUAACUACGUG
RNAcentral lists this ribosomal RNA (468 nucleotides) under uncultured bacterium. RNAcentral describes it as "partial 16S ribosomal RNA". It matches the Rfam family "Bacterial small subunit ribosomal RNA", at positions 28 to 507 of the family's 1533-position model. The record is from RNAcentral.